RNAcentral lists this ribosomal RNA (119 nucleotides) under Anolis carolinensis (green anole). Lineage: Eukaryota; Metazoa; Chordata; Lepidosauria; Squamata; Anolidae. The record is from RNAcentral.
ACUUGUGGUGUAACUAACCUAACGGCACAAGAUCCCAUCCAAACUUGAAAGCUAAGCAGGAUGAGCCCUUGUUAGUACUUGGAUAGGAUACCGCUAAUGAAUACCAGGUGCUGUAGGCU